Molecule: unclassified non-coding RNA, 2081 nt
Filed under: Hevea brasiliensis (rubber tree)
Lineage: Eukaryota; Viridiplantae; Streptophyta; Magnoliopsida; Malpighiales; Euphorbiaceae
Source: RNAcentral
GGAAUGGAUAUCAGGUGUGUUAUUGUCCUCUGCAUGGUAGUGUUCCUUUGUUUUGUUGUUUUGACAUGUAAAUGAAGCUGUCUAAAGUAUGUGUUUUUUCUUUAAAAUUGAACUUAAAAGAGGUGACAUUGAAUAUUGAAUGUUAGUGGGCAAAGAAGAAUGUGUAGGAUAUCUUCCUAAAUUGCCCUUUAUUCCUUUUUUGAUUGGAUUUUGACUUUUAUGUGGAUCCUUUUUAAGGAAAAAAAAAUUGAGUGGGUUUUUUAUUUUUUACUACUAAUUUUUAGUGGUGUCAUAAUUAAUUUUGCAAUGGGGUCAAAAUAUAAUUUCCUUCUAAUAUAUUUGUCUUUUUUAAUUAUACAUAGAAUCAGUGGGAUCAAUUGACUACUUUAUACGAGGUAAAUAUGUCCCUGCAAGGGGCCUUAGUUCUUUGGGCUUAGUCUCACUCUAUUUUGUGUCAUUAACUUUUUGUGGAGUUGCUUGUGUUGUGCAUGGAGAACACUGGAAUAUAUUAGCACUUAAAGAGUUGCAUUAAGUAAAAUAUAAUGAUAAUUGAUAAAUGUCUAUAUGGUUAACAGAAAACAAAGUAGCUUAUUUUUCUCAUUGUUUAUCCAUUUAAGGCUAUGCAAUCAGUCAGUUCGGUGUUCAAACGAAAUACUGGAAAACCAAAUUGGUAAAUAUUGAGAACCAAACAAAAUUGGGGGUUAUAACCAAAUUGAACAAAAAGAUUUUUAAUUUUGAUUUGUUGGUUUGGGAUUAUAGAUAGAAUUAACGCAAACAGAAUUACGCACGGAAUUAACAAAAACAUAAAUGGCCAAAAUCAAUACAAACAUAACGGGAAUGCAGAAUCAACAUAAACAUAAUUGACAAAAUCAAUACAAACAUAACGGGAAUGCAGAAUCAACAUAAACAUAAUUGACAAAAAUGCACAGAAGCAACACAAUCACAAAUGCAAAAAAUCAACACAAGAUAUUUCUUAGCCAAGAGCAUACAGCAGAAUAUAUGCAAUUAUAGCUCCCAUCUUAAUAAAUGCUAAUCUUAGUUUGGAAAAUAAGAACACAAGAUAUUUCUGAACCAAGAGGAGAUGACAUAAUAUAUGUAAGUUUUUUUAUUACUUAUCCCCGGCAAGCAGAAAUGUUACUUCUCUAGUAGUGGAUUUUUAGUGGCAAUGGAGAGAGGAUUUGCAGCGGCCAGAGGCAAGGCAAGAUAGAGAAGGAGGAACACAGAGCAAAGAGAGAACUAGAAAGUAGAAAUGCACUUUGAAGAGUUGAGAAAUGAGGACUGAACUCUGAAGGAGAAAGUAGAAAUUAGAAAUGCAGAAAUGGGCAAUGGCUCGAGGUUGUAGGGACGCAGAGGAGUUGCAGACGGCACCCAUAUAUAGGAGAAAAGAAAGGGUUAAUUAGGUUUAGGUGUUGGGGAUUUUGACAUUUUGUAAUGGACUUGGGCUGGACAGAGGGGCUAAAUGACAACCCCGAAAUGCAAAAUGGCAGCCCCGUAAAUGUGGGAAAAAAAUGUCGGUUCAUUUUUUUUUCUUUUUUUUGGGAGAAAAUAACUGAACCAAAAUGAAAAUAACCUAAUCAAACUGAAAAUAGAAGUUUCUAAAAAAAAAAAAAAAUACUAACCAAAUAGAAAACCGAAUGAAAAUGGAUCAGUUUGAUUUUUCGGAUAUAACUGAUUUUUGCUCAGCCCUACAUCCAAUGCUUAGUUUUUACAAGUUCUCUGCACAACCUGUAUUUUCUUUUAAUCCUUCUUUCCCCUUCUGAUGCAGUUGAUGUUUAAAAUUAAUUUUGAUGUCAAUAGAAGUUGCAUUUAAAAUUUCUAUGCCUAUUUUUUUAGAGCUUACUUUAUAUUAAUCACUCUUAAAAUCACUUACAAAAUUUAUUACCAAAUAACUUUCCCAUCAAUUAUAUUCCUUUUUUGCUUGUCAAGGCUCCUGCAUUUCCACCAGAGAGGAGGAGUAUACACCCAGGUUCAGCGUAUGUCAUAAGCAAUCCAGCUACAGAUACCAACGUCUAUGCGCAUCAGCAGCAGAUGACAUUCGAUGAAUAUCCAGAACGACCUGGACAACCAGAGUGCAGUUAUUA